UUCUACCUACGGGGCGCAGCAGUGGGGGAUAUUGGACAAUGGGGGGAACCCUGAUCCAGCGACGCCGCGUGAGUGAAGAAGUAUUUCGGUAUGUAAAGCUCUGUCAGCAGGGAAGAAAGCAAUGACGGUACCUGACCAAGAAGCCCCGGCUAACUACGUGCCAGCAGCCGCGGUAAUACGUAGGGGGCAAGCGUUAUCCGGAUUUACUGGGUGUAAAGGGAGCGUAGGGGGCAUGGUAAGCCAGAAGUGAAAACCCAGGGCUCAACUC
Molecule: ribosomal RNA, 268 nt
Filed under: uncultured bacterium
Lineage: Bacteria
Description: partial 16S ribosomal RNA
Rfam family: Bacterial small subunit ribosomal RNA
Source: RNAcentral